GGCACUGUAGCUCAGUUGGUAGAGCACAUGCUUAACAUCUGACUGGUUGAUUCGCAUGUUGUCGUCGGUUCGAGCCCGGCCAGAGUCA
Molecule: transfer RNA, 88 nt
Filed under: Puccinia coronata f. sp. avenae
Lineage: Eukaryota; Fungi; Basidiomycota; Pucciniomycetes; Pucciniales; Pucciniaceae
Rfam family: tRNA
About the family: Transfer RNA (tRNA) molecules are approximately 80 nucleotides in length. Their secondary structure includes four short double-helical elements and three loops (D, anti-codon, and T loops). Further hydrogen bonds mediate the characteristic L-shaped molecular structure. tRNAs have two regions of fundamental functional importance: the anti-codon, which is responsible for specific mRNA codon recognition, and the 3' end, to which the tRNAs corresponding amino acid is attached (by aminoacyl-tRNA synthetases). tRNAs cope with the degeneracy of the genetic code in two manners: having more than one tRNA (with a specific anti-codon) for a particular amino acid; and 'wobble' base-pairing, i.e. permitting non-standard base-pairing at the 3rd anti-codon position.
Source: Rfam by way of RNAcentral